Ceratina calcarata is the source of this 3732-nucleotide long non-coding RNA. RefSeq lists it as uncharacterized. NCBI's taxonomy places the organism in Eukaryota, Metazoa, Arthropoda, Insecta, Hymenoptera, Apidae. The transcript is spliced from 3 exons. The record is from RefSeq and is a predicted model, not a curated record.
GAUUAUUUUUAAGUUCUUGUUUUAUUUCUAAGUUCAUAUGUUUAUCUUUCGUUACUAUCUUAAAUUUUGUUACAUUUCCUUUACUCUUCUGUAAAGGGGUGAGGAGAUUACGGAGGAGGGGUGGGGUGAUUACUCAUUACUAAAGUAUCAAACGAAAAUUAUACAUCUAGAAGAUACAGACGAAAGUAAAUAAAUAGCAAUACUAAAUAACUUUUUCGAUAGAAUACAAUAUUUCAUAUAAUGUCUGAUACAAUAUAGAUCUAUCUCCAUUUUCAUUUAUCCAUUUCACAAAACUGAGUGGUUUGAUAAUAUACUGAAAUAUAUCCAUUCAGUGAUCACUUUCCUAUAAUAAAUGCAUAUAAAGCUUCUUCUAACCAGUACAAUAAGUAAUUGUUCAUGUCAAAUGAUAUUUUAUUGAUUUAUCCUAUGUGUUCUCAUUGAGGGAUGCCAUCGAGAUUUACGCAGAAUAUUUUAGCAAUAUGUCAGAUUCACUGGCGAGAGCACUCUUCGGAUAUCUGGUUUCGCAAUAAUGACCGUAAAGAUUAGCCUCAUCGUGGGGGACACGAAUCGAGAGCAUGUGGUUCCAGCGUUGAUUUUGUCUUUGAGACACACGAUAGCCGUGCUUCUUUUUACCCCUUCAGCGUUGCGCGUAUAUCGGUUGGUUAGUUAGCGAUACUUUCGCGCUUCACAAAGAUCGCACGCAGUAACGUCACGUUUCAUUAACGUUCACCACUGCAAGUAUUAUACAAAUAAUGAUAAUAAAAGACUGCAGAUUUUUGUACAACACAACAAAUUUAUAUUAAUUUGAAAAAUUUACUUUAAACAGAAAUACCUUCAUUUGUUUUGCUAUACAGGGUGUCGCGAAAAUCGUGGUACAACAGGUCGGGUGAUAAUUCUAGAUGUAAAAAUAAGUCAAAAAAGAAAGAAUAACAUUUUUUCAUUUAAUGCUCAGUUUUUGAAAGAAAAAGAGUUCGAAUAUUCGUCAGGUACCUUUGUAUUGCCUGUAAGGUAUACGCAAUAAUUUAGUUUUACGAGCAGAGCUGCAUGCGCAGCAACAUGAUCAACAAUUUGAAAAUCUGUUACAUUAAUAAAGUGAUUCUUAACAAGUACUAAUCUUAUUCUUAUUUAUGAAACUAUUCAAUUUACAUACAGAAUAAAGGAAAGUAGUAAUCGAUGUCAUGGUAAUAAGAUCGCAACAAUAACCGGAAGCAAAAUACGAUAUUGUCGAUGUUUAAUAACACAAAGGUAGAAACAGAAGUUUCAUACUUCAAAACUUACAGGUAAUACAAAGAUACCUAAUGGAUAUUUGAACUCAUUUUUUUCCAAAAAUUACGCGUUAAAUGAAAAAAUGUUAUUCUUUCUUUUUUGACUUAUUUUUACAUGUCGAAUCACGAGCCGAUAGUUAUACCACGAUUUUAGGGACACCCUAUACGUAUUGCAGCUUUUCAUACGUUUCGUUUUUUAAAAUCUACUAUGCAUAUUCAAUUUUUCGAUAAAUGCAAUUUAUGCAUUAUGUAAGAAAAGCAUUAGGUAUAUUAUAUUCCUUUAUGCAGAAUUUUACAUACUUUUUUUACUUUAUAUGCAUUCUUCACAUCUUGUACACAUUGAAGUUCUCGAUAAAUUCGAUAAGUGCAGCUUAUUUAUUAUGUAAAAGAAGCAUUAUAUUAUAUUUUCCAUUCUCUUUUGGAGAAUUAUAUGUACUUUUUUACGUUACAUGCAUUCUUCACAUCUUGUAUACAUUGAAUUCUACCAUAAAUCUAUAAAAUGCAGUUUAUGUAAAGAAAGCAUUAUAGUAUAUUUUCUAUUCUUUUCAGAAGAAGAGUCAAUCAUUCAAGAGAAGGCAAGAACUACAUUUGUUACCUUAAUCAUGCAUCACUAUUUUUGAAGAGUAAAAUAUCUAAAUCAAGACUUCAUUUUGUAAAUCAAUCACAAAUGAUUUAUUUUACAUAAAAGUUUGUGACAUAUUCAGUGUUAAGCUAAGCUUGGACGAGAAUGACUUUUCAUAAAUAUGUGUGUAUAUAUAGUUACAUGAGUGGAAAGCGGAAACAGGACAAUGUCAGUUUGGGUAGCACUACUCGCUGCAAGCAUGUGACACUUGUCGUACCUACUUGAUGAUAUACGAAGAGAUAUUGUCAGCUCGGUGGUUCAGCUGUGGAUAAAACAAUGGAAACCGAGCGAAGUUACGAACUGGAUUGGCAGAUUUUUGUUCCGAGAUGAAAUUUCGCGGACAGCUGGUACACAAUCAGAGGCAACGAGACAAAUCCGUUGCAACGAGCAAAUAUUGAAUAAUUCAAGCGGAGUUUAUCCUUGGCCGGUGUCUAUGACGAGCGGGUUAUGUCACGCGAAAAUAUAUAGCCCCGGCCGGACAUUACACACGCAUACGCUAUCAUUGCGUAAGUACGAUUGCUCAUGUUUUAUUGUCCGCUUCUCGAAUCCACUUUUGAAUAAAAGCUUAUCUAUCAUACACGUCAUGUCGUACGUGAGUCGAACUUUCACAACUAUGAGUUGAAUCCCGUAUAUAGAGUCAAUCACAAAAGUCUUCAUAGAUCCCAUAAAAAUGGUAGUUUAAUAUUUAUUUUGUCACAGUACAGCUGAUACUUCCUCACUUACUAAUAAGUGAAUAUAAUAUUAAACAAAGUUAUUGGUUAUCUUAUUGAAUAUUGCAAAUUUCCUUUUUAUCGAUAAUAAUAUCAUGAAUGACUGUAUCUUUAACUAGCACUGUUCGUCACGUCACGCCAUCUGCGAUUUGCGUCGACGACAGCUACUCGUCCUCAAUUCACAUUUUUAGAAUCAAGUAAUAAAUAUAGUGAACAGAGAAAAUUUUUAUAAGUGCGUAUAACAUUCUUUGGUGAAUUAAAAAAUUAUAGGAAUGUAAUACUCUUCAAUCUUAUAGGUUGCAGAGAAAACGAUGAUACAUAAUUGCGUCAUCAUAUGUUCGUUUGGAAGUCGAGUUCAGAAAUAUUUACUUAUAAUAGCAAAUGUGUACACACAUUAACCGUAAUGUAGGAUACUAUUUGAUCUCAACAAACCGGAAAAUCGUAACGUAAUCGAUUGCAAUGAUUCAGGCGACCUUGACCAAGUUUGAAGGAAAUAGGAAAAAAACUUGGUUAACAGGAAUCUUUCCUAUUCCCCGAGAAUCAGCAUUAGGCCGCAGAUUUUUAUGCAAAAUUACAUGUUCACAAGCAUUUUAAUUGCAGGAAUUCUUCAUUCUCUAAAUUUAAUGGUAUGUGAUCUAAAUUAAUUGCUUACGUUCAUCGUGUGCAUUGUUUCACAUUCAAAUCUUCUGUGGGUACAUAAAAUUCUAGUCAUCGUCAAAUCAUUAAAUUGAUUGCAAAGUAUAUUAAUUAAUUUUUAUUCAAAACCUGUUUGCUAACUCAAUACGAAUAAACAAUGUAAAAAUUAUACAAUUUAAAAUCCUUUCUUAAUGGUGAUUCAGUAAAAAAAAAUUUCCUCACCACGCAAUCAAUCUCAACAAUUGCACAAUGUACAUUCGUAUUUCCUUAAUAAUAAUUCAACAAAAAAGAAUUUUCCAUCCUCCAGUUAAACGAAAUAUUAUACAAUUUAAAAUAUUCAUGUUUUCUUAACACGUUGAAUGCCACGCCAAUUUUACAGGGAUUGUCCAUGGCGCCACGAUGAAUUUUCUAUUAUGCGAUACAUAUAAUGUUGAAAUAUUAUCUGCAAUAGAUAAGUUACAGUGUAUAACAAUGUUUGACAUGUUAAUUGCGACGGGGU